Molecule: ribosomal RNA, 1410 nt
Filed under: Triticum aestivum (bread wheat)
Lineage: Eukaryota; Viridiplantae; Streptophyta; Magnoliopsida; Poales; Poaceae
Description: partial small subunit ribosomal RNA
Source: RNAcentral
AUGGCGGACGAGGAGUUAACUGAUAUGAUGGUAGACAUGGAGUUUGGAGAACUGAUGAAAGACUGGAUAGAAGAUUGGUCAGAUGAUGAAAAUUCAGAUCUUGGAAAUCAGUCAGAGAAUGGGAACGAAUGGGAAGAUUUGAAUAUGGAUGAGCAUGAUGAUGGUCAGGAAAACAAUUCGGAGCUCUCAAAUGAAGAUUACAUUAGUCAGUUCAUUUUCGAAUGUCAUAAUGUGUACGACUAUUACGGUGAAUCUGACGCGGAGACAGGCCUUAAUGAUGAAUCAUCAAAUGCACCUGAUUCUGGGGAUUCGCAGUCGUCGGUCACCAUCAGUGAGGUGACAGAAGAUGGUGGGGUAAUGAAUGUCCAAGAUACUGCCAGUGCAGAUGAUAAGAGGGAUAUGUUCAUGCAGAUAAUGGACAUGACUUUUAUGACUCACGAUGCUGCGUAUGAUUUCAACAGCUAUGCUAGAGCUAAUGGUUUCAGCAUUAGGAAGAAUAAGGUCAGACAAGGGAAACGUGACAGCAAGUUGCUAACCGAGGAAGGGCACAGCCGUCGGCUCAGAGCCGAGACACGCUGCUUUUGCGAAGCACACCUGACUGUCAAGCUUGACCAAAAGCGUGGGGUUUGGUAUGUUGCAAGUUUUGAGGACAAGCAUAGCCAUAUGUUGGCAGGACUGGACGAGGUACCUUUUCUUUGGUCCCACAGAAAAAUCAAAGAGUUUCAGAAGCAUGAGAUAAUGUCCAUGGGAGCUACAGGGAUUAGAAUUCACGACAUGAUGGAUUCCCUCAUCAGCAAGCAUGUAUGGUAUGGCGGUGUUGGUUUUACCAGGCGUGAAAUAUACAACCUUUGUGCCAGGGAGAAGAGGAAGUUGCUUUCAAAAGGUGAUGCUGCCACAUCCAUAGGCAUCAUGGCCAGUAGGAAACAGAGGCUGCUGCAGACUUUUUUGAGGUCCAUGUGUCAAAAGAUGCCGAAGAGUGUAAUCACAGACGCCGACGCUGCGAUGAUCAAGGCAAUUCGCGAAGUCUUGCCAGACGUGUGGCACCGUAUAUGUACGUGGCAUAUAGAAAAAAAUAUGAAGAUUCACCUCAGUCCCAAGUCCUUGAAGGAGUUCCGAACCCUUCUAUACUAUAGCACGUCCACGGCCACAUUUAAGGAGAGAUGGCACGCGUUUACCAAAAGAUGGCAGUCGGAAAAAAUAGUAACAUGGUUGAGACGGAUGUAUAAGAAGAGGAGACUGUGGGCCGCGGCUUAUCUAACAGAGGGGUUUUGGCUUGGCAUGAAAAGCAACCAGCGGAGUGAAAGCCUAAACUCAUGCCUUCACCUCCACCUAGACGGUGAAAUGACCCUGGUGGAUAUGAUUUUGCAUUAUGAGAAUGUCAUUGUAUGUAUCCGUGAAAACGAGGCGUGA